This 336-nucleotide unclassified non-coding RNA is filed under the name soil metagenome. Its description in RNAcentral is "partial contains 5.8S ribosomal RNA, internal transcribed spacer 2, and large subunit ribosomal RNA". The stretch from base 1 to 120 matches the Rfam family "5.8S ribosomal RNA", at positions 35 to 154 of the family's 154-position model. The record is from RNAcentral.
GAUGAAGAACGUAGCGAAAUGCUAUAAGUAGUGUGAAUUGCAGAAUUCAGUGAAUCAUCGAAUCUUUGAACGCACAUUGCGCCCCUUGGUAUUCCAUGGGGCAUGCCUGUUCGAGCGUCAUUUGUACCUUCAAGCUUUGCUUGGUGUUGGGUGUUUGUCUCGCCUUUGCGUGUAGACUCGCCUUAAAAUAAUUGGCAGCCGGCGUAUUGAUUUCGGAGCGCAGUACAUCUCGCGCUUUGCACUCAUAACGACAGCGUCCAAAAGUACAUUUUACACUCUUGACCUCGGAUCAGGUAGGGAUACCCGCUGAACUUAAGCAUAUCAAUAAGCGGAGGA